RNAcentral lists this ribosomal RNA (421 nucleotides) under uncultured bacterium. RNAcentral describes it as "bacterial SSU rRNA". It matches the Rfam family "Bacterial small subunit ribosomal RNA", at positions 355 to 792 of the family's 1533-position model. The record is from RNAcentral.
UGGGGAAUAUUGCACAAUGGAGGAAACUCUGAUGCAGCGAUGCCGCGUGAAGGAUGAAGUUCUUCGGAAUGUAAACUUCUAUCAGCAAGGAAGAAAAUGACAGUACUUGACUAAGCAGCCCCGGCUAACUACGUGCCAGCAGUCGCGGUAAUACGUAGGGGGCAAGCGUUAUCCGGAAUUACUGGGUGUAAAGGGUGCGCAGGCGGCACUAUAAGUCAGUGGUGAAACCCAUGAGUUCAACUCAUGAAUUGCCAUUGAAACUGUAGAGCUAGAGUACAGGAUAGGAAAGCGGAAUUACUAGUGUAGCGGUGAAAUGCGUAGAUAUUAGUAAGAACACCGGAGGCGAAGGCGGCUUUCUGGGACUGAAACUGACGCUCAGGCACGAAAGCGUGGGGAGCAAACAGGAUUAGAUACCCUGGUA